CAUGCAGUCGAGCGGUAACAUUUCUAGCUUGCUAGAAGAUGACGAGCGGCGGACGGGUGAGUAAUACUUAGGAAUCUACCUAGUAGUGGGGGAUAGCACGGGGAAACUCGUAUUAAUACCGCAUACGACCUACGGGAGAAAGGGGGCAGUUUACUGCUCUCGCUAUUAGAUGAGCCUAAGUCGGAUUAGCUAGAUGGUGGGGUAAAGGCCUACCAUGGCGACGAUCUGUAGCUGGUCUGAGAGGAUGAUCAGCCACACCGGGAMKGAGACACGGCCCGGACUCCUACGGGAGGCAGCAGUGGGGAAUAUUGGACAAUGGGGGAAACCCUGAUCCAGCCAUGCCGCGUGUGUGAAGAAGGCCUUUUGGUUGUAAAGCACUUUAAGCAGUGAAGAAGACUCCUCGGUUAAUACCCGUGGACGAUGACAUUAGCUGCAGAAUAAGCACCGGCUAACUCUGUGCCAGCAGCCGCGGUAAUACAGAGGGUGCAAGCGUUAAUCGGAAUUACUGGGCGUAAAGGGAGCGUAGGUGGCUCGAUAAGUCAGAUGUGAAAUCCCCGGGCUCAACCUGGGAACUGCAUCUGAUACUGUUGAGCUAGAGUAUGUGAGAGGAAGGUAGAAUUCCAGGUGUAGCGGUGAAAUGCGUAGAGAUCUGGAGGAAUACCGAUGGCGAAGGCAGCCUUCUGGCAUAAUACUGACACUGAGGCUCGAAAGCGUGGGUAGCAAACAGGAUUAGAUACCCUGGUAGUCCACGCCGUAAACGAUGUCUACUAGUCGUUGGGUCCCUUGAGGACUUAGUGACGCAGCUAACGCAAUAAGUAGACCGCCUGGGGAGUACGGCCGCAAGGUUAAAACUCAAAUGAAUUGACGGGGGCCCGCACAAGCGGUGGAGCAUGUGGUUUAAUUCGAUGCAACGCGAAGAACCUUACCUGGUCUUGACAUAUCUAGAAUCCUGCAGAGAUGCGGGAGUGCCUUCGGGAAUUAGAAUACAGGUGCUGCAUGGCUGUCGUCAGCUCGUGUCGUGAGAUGUUGGGUUAAGUCCCGCAACGAGCGCAACCCUUGUCCUUAGUUACCAGCGGGUUAAGCCGGGAACUCUAAGGAUACUGCCAGUGACAAACUGGAGGAAGGCGGGGACGACGUCAAGUCAUCAUGGCCCUUACGACCAGGGCUACACACGUGCUACAAUGGUAGGUACAGAGGGCAGCUACACAGCGAUGUGAUGCGAAUCUCAAAAAGCCUAUCGUAGUCCAGAUUGGAGUCUGCAACUCGACUCCAUGAAGUAGGAAUCGCUAGUAAUCGCGGAUCAGAAUGCCGCGGUGAAUACGUUCCCGGGCCUUGUACACACCGCCCGUCACACCAUGGGAGUUGAUUGCACCAGAAGUGGAUAGCUUAACCUUCGGGAAGGC
Molecule: ribosomal RNA, 1403 nt
Filed under: Psychrobacter glacincola
Lineage: Bacteria; Pseudomonadati; Pseudomonadota; Gammaproteobacteria; Moraxellales; Moraxellaceae
Description: bacterial SSU rRNA
Source: RNAcentral